Molecule: ribosomal RNA, 253 nt
Filed under: uncultured bacterium
Lineage: Bacteria
Description: partial 16S ribosomal RNA
Rfam family: Bacterial small subunit ribosomal RNA
Source: RNAcentral
UACAGAGAGUGCAAGCGUUAAUCGGAAUUAUUGGGCGUAAAGCGCACGUAGGUGGAUAUUUAAGUCGGAUGUGAAAUCCCUGAGCUUAACUUAGGAAUUGCAUUCGAUACUGGGUGUCUAGAAUAUAGUAGAGGGAAGUGGAAUUUCUGGUGUAGCGGUGAAAUGCGUAGAUAUCAGAAGGAACAUCAGUGGCGAAAGCGGCUUCCUGGACUAAUAUUGACACUUAGGUGCGAAAGCGUGGGGAGCAAACAGG